RNAcentral lists this ribosomal RNA (480 nucleotides) under uncultured bacterium. Its description in RNAcentral is "partial 16S ribosomal RNA". It matches the Rfam family "Bacterial small subunit ribosomal RNA", at positions 28 to 507 of the family's 1533-position model. The record is from RNAcentral.
GACGAACGCUGGCGGCGUGCUUAACACAUGCAAGUCGAACGAUGAAGAAAAGAAUCGAAGCUUCGGCAGAAAUUCAUUUCGGAUUAGUGGCAGACGGGUGAGUAACGCGUGAGCAACCUACCUCUUACAAAGGGAUAGCCUCGGGAAACCGGGAUUAAUACCAUAUAACAUUGUGACGAAGCAUUUCGAUGCAAUCAAAGCUACGGCGGUAAGAGGUGGGCUCGCGUCCCAUUAACCGGAUGGUGAGGUAACGGCUCACCAUAGUGACGAUGGGUAACCGGCCUGAGAGGGUGAACGGUCACACUGGAACUGAGACACGGUCCAGACUCCUACGGGAGGCAGCAGUGGGGAAUAUUGCACAAUGGAGGGAACUCUGAUGCAGCGACGCCGCGUGAGUGAUGAAGGAAUUCGUUUCGUAAAACUCUGUUCUAUGGGAAGAAAAGGACUGUACCAUAGGAGAAAGCUCCGGCUAAAUACGUG